Pecten maximus is the source of this 469-nucleotide long non-coding RNA. RefSeq lists it as uncharacterized. Lineage: Eukaryota; Metazoa; Mollusca; Bivalvia; Pectinida; Pectinidae. The transcript has 3 exons. The record is from RefSeq and is a predicted model, not a curated record.
UCACGGUCUGCAGGCCUAUUAUACAGCACAAAAAGGUAGCUGCGUGUUUCAAACGAAUGUCAUUCAGUGUUUUUGUGUGAGCAGUGGUAGAUUGGCAGACUACCUAUAAUUGACGGAACAUACCUGACCAUUUACUUCGUUAUCAAUGGACAAUCACAGCCGGUUAUGUGCACGUGACGUGUAGUUGUUCAAAAUAGGUCAGAGGUGUAAUUAGUUGGAGAUAUGUGACAACGUCUACGUAAACAUAACUGUGUUGUCGUAAAAUCAAUAAGGAGCUGAAGGAAAAGGGACUUCUGAGGCCUCCCAUUAAGGAUGGCCAAAUGGAGUAGACUGCUGACGGGGAUAGCGGUCCUCUCGACUGUAACACUGGUAACAGCCCAAACCUGCCAAUCAUCGCCUUUAACACUACCAGCAACGGAGGAGCUACAGACCCUAACAUCACCAAACUACCCUUCAUCCUACCCUCCGU